Long non-coding RNA from Phacochoerus africanus (Common warthog), 4312 nucleotides. RefSeq lists it as uncharacterized. NCBI's taxonomy places the organism in Eukaryota, Metazoa, Chordata, Mammalia, Artiodactyla, Suidae. The transcript has 2 exons. The record is from RefSeq and is a predicted model, not a curated record.
ACCUGCGCCUCCGUUUCCUCUGUGCCACAGCGGGAACUCCAACAAACUAAUUGUACAAGGUUUGUAUCAAGUUCCAAAGCGCCUGUAAUUACUUUGGGAAACAGUUCCCGACCAGCCAGACUCACUCCAUGAGGCUCUCCAGCCAACUUCCUGGUCUUACUCCCUAAAGGAGAGAUUUGGGGGGUGGGUGCUUCACUCAGACAGGAACCCCUGGGAGGGGCCUCGGGUUCAGGGACCCCGCCCACUCUUCCCUCCCCUUGGGGCCCCAGCCGGUGGGGGCAGAGCGAGACCAGGAGAGGAGAAGGACAGGCAUCUCCCCGCUGCUCCCUCCGGGAGCUCAGGCUGUGCCCGAUCAGGGCGGAGGCCGCCCCGCAGGUUGCUCACCUACUGGGCUCAGCCUGUCACGCUCUGUUGCCUGUGGGCGCCCCCCCGGCCUGGUGUCUUCCUAAAGCCACACCGUGACUAGUCAGCAUUUGCAUGGCACGGAAGUCACAGCUUCCUAAUGAUACCAUCACACAGCUGGGACACGCGUGAUUGCUGUUUUGCGGGGCGGAGGCUGAGCGCCAUCGGCCACCCGUCACACUGCUCACGGCAGAAUUUCCCAUUCUGAUUCCCACCUCUUUCCGCUGUGCCCAAGACACCACAACUCUCCCCGUGGUGGAGAAUUCAGGUACACACCCAGGGUCCCGUUGGGACUGCCUGGGAGCUUUCAGCCAAACCGGGCCAGUUAUAUCAAUCACAGCAGCUGGUGCCCAGGGAAGCCUGGCUCCUGGGACUGAGGAGCACGAGGUCCUGCCUCCUGAUUUCAUUGGGAGAAGACCAGUCCCAGGGGCCUUGUGACCAAGGCAGUGGCUGAGCUGAGCCCACAGCCAGGGCAGCACCGGCCGAAAUGAGGUGGGCUCACCUGGGAGGCCGAGGCCACGCACACUUGAACCUGCACGGACACGGCUUCCUCCUGCAGCUGGGCUCUCUGGGCACCGCUAGACCCCAGGUGGUGGGGAACAGUGGGCAAAUAUUCCAGAGUUUUGCAGCCAGCUGUGACAGCGCUGGUAGCUGGGGGAGAGGUUGGGGUGUUUCUAAGAGGCAGCUGGCAGCUGGCACCACGGCUGGGGCGGGUAAGCUCCGGGGUCUCUGUUUCCCGCUCUUAGCUCAGGACACCCCGACUAUUUAGUCUGGUUCCUCGCUGGUGCUGUCCUAAUGUCCUACCUGCUGAAGAGCUGUUCCGUCCAGAACAAUCCCCAGCACACACUGGCCAAGGCGCCUUCUCUAGAUAACAGCCCGCUGCUUGGGGCUCACGAGUGGUCAGUGCCUUCUCCUUUUGAAUGACUGUUGAGGGACUGCUUCCCAUGGGAGGGGGUCUGAAAGCGGGCCCGGGGUCAGCCAGCUGCCCCGCUCACAGCCUCUGCCCGCGGAAGCCCCCGGAGCUGGCUUGUUCGCUCAAGAAAUGGUCCUUAGCUCCUGACACAUCCCUUCUGUGGUUUGAGUCGCAGCAGCUCCUUUAGACAAAGGGAGUUUCCAUCCGUUCGUUGCAAACAUUUCUAACGGCCUCUAUUUUUAACACUGAGAUUUCUCAGCUGAGCUGCGCGGCGUUGUCUCAGAGGCCCGCGGUCCAGAGGUUUCGGCGGCUGUUGUCCCGCAGCGCGCUGGGCGCUGCCGCGUACAGGCGCGGGUCCGGCUCACUCAGCCCUCCGGCGCUCCCUUGCCACCCCCACCCCACCCCCCAGGAGGGGUCGAGGUCCCUGAGGGCCAGGGAGGGGAAGGAAGUGUCCCAGGCCUCAGUGAGCCGCACAGAAGUCAGAUAAACAAGGCGGCUCAGGGAGAUUAGGGCCUGGAGGAGAAUUAAAGGGUGACCUGGCCGAGGGGACCGUGUCCUCGCACUCAACUGAGGUUUCUAAGGAGGUGCCUGUGUCCAAACCUGCGUCCCCUCCACGGGCCUCACUCCCCUGGGCACCGGGACACCCGCCCCCACGGAGGAGCAGGGACUCCGUCAGCCAUCAGUUGUCCUUCAAAGGGGCCACCGGGCAGCACCAGGAGAAUGGGGUGGCUUGAGGUGGGGGAGGGUCCUCACCCACCCCUCCCCCAAGAUGAGGGUGGCCAGCUUGUCCCGAGGUUGGCACGUGUCCUUUGAGGAAUCUGCUGCAGGUUCGUUGAUGGGGCGUCCGUUCACCGAUGGGGCCAACGGUCCCCUUCCCCCUGUGUCCCCAGGUCCUGUCCAGUCAUUUUGCCCAAAUCCUCAGCCCGCUGCCCAAGGAGGGCUCUUCCUGCCCCGGGUCCUGGGUCAUCCAGGCACCAGGCUGGGCACAGGGUGGUUCUGGAUGGUCAUCCCUGGUGGGGAGGCCGCCCCCACCACAACCUCCAGAUGCCUUGGGUGUUCUGGCUUGACGGGCGUGGGAGGGCUGGCGCUCGGGUCCUGAGGGCACUGCCAGGGCAGGCCAGCCCUCUCCUGACACCUGCCAGCUGCUGGAAAGCUCUGACAUGGCAGGUUCUGAGCACUGGGAGGGCCUGCCCGCCGAGGGGGCUGGGCUUAACUGCAGUGGCCGUGGGCAGGGGGUCAGGGCGGCUCUGAGUCCAUGGUCUGCUUUCCCCUGGGGGGUCGAGGGAGCAGUGAGGGGACCUCUGAGCCUCUCCCAGGCUGGGCAGGAGCCUGGGGGCCCUUCUUCCAGAAUCUGCUCAAAGAUGAUGGCUCCUGAAAGGAUCCGACACAACGGUGCGCCUGUGAUUCGGCCACGGGAAGCCUGGAAAGAUCUGUCGGUGCUGCGGCUUUGAGAGGUCCCGGGGCUGGAGUCCUACCUGUGGUCCUGACCUCCACGGGGUCCUGCUGUCCCCGGGGCCCGUGUCUGCAGUCUCGACCCCUUGGGGCCCUGCUCUAUGGUGAUGAAACAAGCUAGACUUUUAUCCUCUGACCUGGAGGCACGCGAAAAAAAGCAAGAUUUAGAAAAGCCCAAGAGAGUCCCUUAGGCCCAGCCCUGCCUGGGGGCCCAGGAGGAUUUGCACCUGUAUGAGCAAGUGGGCCGGGAGGGACGUGCAGGUGAAGCCCUGUGAGGGCGACACAGCCCAGGUCAACCUCCAAGGUCAGUCUCCAAGGUCAACCUCUAAGGUCAGUCUCCAAGGCUGGGCCUCAUCCCCACCUCCUGGUCCGCUUCCCUCCCCCUCUGGCAGCGCGGCAGUGUUAGGGCCCGUCCCACACCUGAGGGCUUGUGCCCACCAUCCCUGCACCUGCCCCCCGCAGGGGCUCAGGCCGUCCCCCGCCCCAAGGGGGCCCUGUUCUCACCCCCCUGGACUUCCCUUAAGGGCUGCCUCCUCCAUGCGGCCUCUCCUCCCCUCCUGUGCCCCCGUUGCCCAUCGUCCAUCUCCGAGCCCCGUCUCCCUGCAGCGGCACCAGAGGUUCUGACGUGAGAGGAGCCCACCAACCCAGGAGGCAGAGCGACAAUUGGGGUCCCGUGGUCACCCAGGCCUGGCGCCCUCUCGGGGCCCUGAGAGAGCCGGGCUGUGCCCUGUGACGUGGGCGCUGACACCCCCGCUCUCUGGGGUCUGCUUGGAGGCUGUGCUUCCCGGGAGGGAGGAUGGGAGGGCCCAGCGGGGCUUCGAGCGGCAUCUUCAGGGGAAGAAGGGACGCCGGGGGCAGAUGUGGACGGCGGCCACUGUGCGGGGCCUGCGAGGAGAGAAAAGCAGGGGAUGCGCUGCCGAGGCCCGUCACAGACGUGCUGGUCACUUCACACACUGGACAGUGGACGCAAGACAAAUCCAACGCAGACCUUGUCCAGAGCAGGGCCCUGCCCUCAGCACCGGGGACACUUGGGGCCAUGUCACUGUCCUGGCCCUGCCCGCGGGCGCCGUCCAUCCGGAUGUUAGCUGUUGGAGACUGGCAGUGACCUUCAGCAGACCAGCAGCAGCCUCCGUCCAAGGCGUGCCUGGCUGCAGGGGAGCCCGAGGGAGCUUAGCGGGGAAACGAAGAGCGCCUGCCAUCUAGCUACCAGCGGACAGCAGCCACUCCCACCAGGGAGCCCUGAGGAGACGCAGGCGGAGAAGCAAGAGGACCCCGGCCCGGGCCGCUGGCGGGCACCCCGGAGGAGUGACCUCAGGGGGCCCAGGCCUUCACGUCCUCCCAAAGAAAAGCGCUGGAGUCCUCAACUUGAGACGUCUGGUUGUCUGUAAUAUUUUGCUCCUAUGACCUGCCCUUUUUUUGCAAAAAGUCCCUGUAUAUCCCGGCCCCCCCCCUCUCGCCUCCUCGGAGUGGUUUUCUCAGGGUUACCUGAGAUGCCACCUCCCAGGCUUAAUUCCUCAUUUUGCCCCAAAUAAAACUCAAGUCUCA